Molecule: ribosomal RNA, 719 nt
Filed under: Escherichia coli
Lineage: Bacteria; Pseudomonadati; Pseudomonadota; Gammaproteobacteria; Enterobacterales; Enterobacteriaceae
Description: partial 23S ribosomal RNA
Rfam family: Bacterial large subunit ribosomal RNA
Source: RNAcentral
AUACUCCUGACUGACCGAUAGUGAACCAGUACCGUGAGGGAAAGGCGAAAAGAACCCCGGCGAGGGGAGUGAAAAAGAACCUGAAACCGUGUACGUACAAGCAGUGGGAGCCUCUUUAUGGGGUGACUGCGUACCUUUUGUAUAAUGGGUCAGCGACUUAUAUUCUGUAGCAAGGUUAACCGAAUAGGGGAGCCGAAGGGAAACCGAGUCUUAACUGGGCGUUAAGUUGCAGGGUAUAGACCCGAAACCCGGUGAUCUAGCCAUGGGCAGGUUGAAGGUUGGGUAACACUAACUGGAGGACCGAACCGACUAAUGUUGAAAAAUUAGCGGAUGACUUGUGGCUGGGGGUGAAAGGCCAAUCAAACCGGGAGAUAGCUGGUUCUCCCCGAAAGCUAUUUAGGUAGCGCCUCGUGAAUUCAUCUCCGGGGGUAGAGCACUGUUUCGGCAAGGGGGUCAUCCCGACUUACCAACCCGAUGCAAACUGCGAAUACCGGAGAAUGUUAUCACGGGAGACACACGGCGGGUGCUAACGUCCGUCGUGAAGAGGGAAACAACCCAGACCGCCAGCUAAGGUCCCAAAGUCAUGGUUAAGUGGGAAACGAUGUGGGAAGGCCCAGACAGCCAGGAUGUUGGCUUAGAAGCAGCCAUCAUUUAAAGAAAGCGUAAUAGCUCACUGGUCGAGUCGGCCUGCGCGGAAGAUGUAACGGGGCUAAACCAUG